GAGGUUGUAACUCACUGGUAGAGUGCGUGCUUAGUGUGCACGAGGUCCUAGGUUCAAUCCCUGGUAACUCCA
This 72-nucleotide transfer RNA is filed under the name Camelus bactrianus (Bactrian camel). It matches the Rfam family "tRNA". From Rfam's summary of the family: Transfer RNA (tRNA) molecules are approximately 80 nucleotides in length. Their secondary structure includes four short double-helical elements and three loops (D, anti-codon, and T loops). Further hydrogen bonds mediate the characteristic L-shaped molecular structure. tRNAs have two regions of fundamental functional importance: the anti-codon, which is responsible for specific mRNA codon recognition, and the 3' end, to which the tRNAs corresponding amino acid is attached (by aminoacyl-tRNA synthetases). tRNAs cope with the degeneracy of the genetic code in two manners: having more than one tRNA (with a specific anti-codon) for a particular amino acid; and 'wobble' base-pairing, i.e. permitting non-standard base-pairing at the 3rd anti-codon position. Lineage: Eukaryota; Metazoa; Chordata; Mammalia; Artiodactyla; Camelidae. The record is from Rfam by way of RNAcentral. RNAcentral also lists the same sequence under 2 other names.